This is a non-coding RNA of Myotis lucifugus (little brown bat), 75 nucleotides long. Lineage: Eukaryota; Metazoa; Chordata; Mammalia; Chiroptera; Vespertilionidae. The record is from Rfam.
GGCAGUUCUAGGGUGACACACCCCAGAAUCAAGCUCCCUCCUCUCUGGUUCCAGGUGCAUAACCCGAGAACUUCC